This 375-nucleotide ribosomal RNA is filed under the name uncultured bacterium. Its description in RNAcentral is "bacterial SSU rRNA". It matches the Rfam family "Bacterial small subunit ribosomal RNA", at positions 521 to 896 of the family's 1533-position model. The record is from RNAcentral.
UAAUACGUAGGCAGCAAACGUUGUUCGGAAUUACUGGGCGUAAAGAGUGUGUAGGCGGUUUUGUUAGUUUGGUGUGAAAUCUCCCGGCUUAACUGGGAGGGUGCGCCGAAUACUGCAAAGCUUGAGUACUGGAGAGGAUAGCGGAAUUCCUGGUGUAGCGGUGAAAUGCGUAGAUAUCAGGAGGAACACCGGCGGUGUAGACGGCUAUCUGGACAGUAACUGACGCUGAGACACGAAAGCGUGGGGAGCAAACAGGAUUAGAUACCCUGGUAGUCCACGCCCUAAACGAUGCAUACUUGGUGUGGGUGAUUCAUUUUAUCCGUGCCGGAGCUAACGCGUUAAGUAUGCCGCCUGGGGAGUACGGUCGCAAGGCUG